AGACUCUCGCUGCCUUCUCACUCUUAACUAUCACUCUCACUGCAGCUUCUCCGCUGCUAUAAUACACUAUUUGUGCUUUUGACUUCCUCUCUCCUAGGGUUAGGGCUUUGGUGGAUUCGAAUCAUGGCGUCGGCAUCGUCCUCGGAUCCUGGGCUGAAACCGGAACUCGGUGUAGGAGGAGGAGGAGAGACCUCAGAGGCAGUGGUUGCAAACGAUCAGCUGUUGCUGUACAGAGGUCUGAAGAAGGCAAAGAAAGAGAGAGGUUGCACUGCCAAGGAACGCAUCAGUAAAAUGCCUCCCUGCACUGCCGGUAAACGGAGUUCCAUAUACCGUGGAGUUACCAGGCAUAGAUGGACUGGUCGAUACGAAGCUCAUCUUUGGGAUAAAAGUACGUGGAACCAAAAUCAGAACAAGAAAGGAAAGCAAGUUUAUUUGGGAGCAUAUGACGAUGAGGAGGCUGCUGCUAGAGCAUAUGACCUUGCUGCCUUAAAAUAUUGGGGCCCUGGGACACUGAUAAAUUUUCCUGUUACUGAUUAUACAAGGGAUCUUGAAGAAAUGCAGAAUGUUUCAAGGGAAGAAUACCUUGCAUCUCUUCGAAGAAAAAGCAGUGGUUUCUCUAGAGGAAUCUCUAAAUAUCGUGGGCUUACAAGUAGUCGAUGGGACUCAUCAUUUGGUCGUGGGGCUGCACCUGAAUACUUCAAUAGCAUUCAUUACGUUGCAGGUGAUGAUCCAGGAACUGAGAGUGAUUUUCUAAGUAAUUUUUGUAUUGAGAGAAAGAUAGAUCUUACAAGCUACAUUAAGUGGUGGGGGACCAAUAAAACUCGUCAAGCAGAUUGUUCGAGUAAGUCAUCAGAAGAAACAAAACAUGGAUGUGCAGAAGAUAUUGGUGGUGAACUCAAAACAUUGGACUGGGCAGUCCAGGCAACAGAACCGUAUGAAAUGCCACGUUUGGGUAUGUUCAUCAAGGGGAAAACCCCCAAAGGAUCAACAGUCUCUGCCUUGAGCAUCUUGUCUCAGUCAGCUGCCUAUAAGAGCUUGCAAGAAAAAGCAUUGAAAAAGGAAAAAAAAGACUCUGAUAAAGAAGAUAAUGAAAACAAAAAUACCAUUAAUAGGCCGGACUAUGGUAAGGCAGUUGAGAAAUCAGUAAGUCAUGAAGGUGGGAAUGAGAGUCUUGGAGCUGCACUAGGAAUGGGUGGAGGAUUGCCCCUUCAGAGAAAUAUGUAUCCGUUGGCUCCUAUCUUGUCUGCUCCACUUGUAACCAGCUAUAAUACCAUUGAUCCGCUGGCAGACCCCAUUUUGUGGACAUCUCUUGUUCCAAUUCUUCCUACUGGAUCAUCUCGUAACCCAGAGGAUUUCGUGGUUCAGGAGGAAAAUUAACUCUUCAAUAAAAUUAUCAAUCAACAAUACUUCUGUUCAUUCUUUGGAAAAACUUUCAUCAAGGCCACAUAGGUGACAAAGACAGAGACCAGUUCAACAUAUACAUUCUUCCAGCCAGAGGAAUGAUUUUUGGCAAAAGUUGCGCAGUUUACCUGACUGAUAAAGGUUAGGGUUUUGGCAUUUACUUAACUAUUUAUUUAUCUGAAGGAAAAGUAUAUCAACUAGUCUGCCAGUAGAAUCUUGCCUUUAUCUGUUGGCAUUCCAGAGAUGUCUACUAGGUCUCAUUACUUGUCUAUUUCUUCUUCUUUUUUUUUUUUUUUUUUUUUUAAUAAAAAAUUUAUUUUACAGGAUAAUAUAGCUUUUAUUUUCAUGAAUAUAUCUUAUGUACAGAGUAACAACAGCA
Molecule: non-coding RNA, 1780 nt
Organism: Carica papaya (papaya)
Lineage: Eukaryota; Viridiplantae; Streptophyta; Magnoliopsida; Brassicales; Caricaceae
Source: RefSeq, a predicted model, not a curated record